Molecule: non-coding RNA, 88 nt
Filed under: Pseudomonas sp. 29
Lineage: Bacteria; Pseudomonadati; Pseudomonadota; Gammaproteobacteria; Pseudomonadales; Pseudomonadaceae
Also listed under: 2 other names
Source: RNAcentral
UUUUAUGGUGGUCAUGCGCAGGGCGCUUUCGAGCGCGCCGGUUUUCCUUGUGUCCCGGUCUACCAACCUGUGCAUGGCCGCCACCCAU